RNAcentral lists this ribosomal RNA (403 nucleotides) under uncultured bacterium. RNAcentral's name for it is "bacterial SSU rRNA". It matches the Rfam family "Bacterial small subunit ribosomal RNA", at positions 355 to 774 of the family's 1533-position model. The record is from RNAcentral.
UAGGGAAUAUUGCAAAAUGGGCGAAAGCCCGAUGCAGCAACGCCGCGUGGGCGAUGAAGGCCUUCGGGUCGUAAAGCCCUUUUUGAGGGGAUGAGGAAGGACAGUACCCUCAGAAUAAGCAUCGGCUAACUACGUGCCAGCAGCCGCGGUAAAACGUAGGAGGCGAGCGUUAUCCGGAUUUACUGGGCGUAAAGCGCGUGCAGGCGGAUUGGAGAGUUGGAUGUGAAAGCUCCCGGCUUAACUGGGAGAGGUCGUUCAAUACUUCCAGUCUUGAGUGCAGUAGAGGGAAGUGGAAUUCCGGGUGUAGUGGUGAAAUGCGUAGAUAUCCGGAGGAACACCGGUGGCGAAAGCGGCUUCCUGGACUGUAACUGACGCUCAGACGCGAAAGCUAGGGUAGCAAACG